This 492-nucleotide ribosomal RNA is filed under the name uncultured bacterium. RNAcentral describes it as "partial 16S ribosomal RNA". It matches the Rfam family "Bacterial small subunit ribosomal RNA", at positions 29 to 507 of the family's 1533-position model. The record is from RNAcentral.
AGUGAACGCUGGCGGUAGGCCUAACACAUGCAAGUCGAACGGCAGCACAGUAAGAGCUUGCUCGUACGGGUGGCGAGUGUCGGACGUGGGGGGAAUACAUCGGAAUCUACUUUUUCGUGGGGGAUAACGUAGGGAAACUUACGCUAAUACCGCAUACGACCUCCGGGUGAAAGCAAGGGAUCUUCGGACCUUGCGCGAUUGAAUGAGCCGGUGUCGGAUUAGCUAGUUGGCGGGCUCAAGGCGCACCAAGGCGACGAUCCGUAGCGGCUCUGAGAGGAUGGACAGCCACACUGGAACUGAGACACGGUCCAGACUCCUACGGGAGGCAGCAGUGGGGAAUAUUGGACAAUGGGCGCAAGCGUGAUCCAGCCAUACCGAGUGGGUGAAGAAGGCCUUCGGGUUGUAAAGCCCUUUUGUUGGGAAAGAAAAGCAGCAGGUUAAUACCCCGCUGUUCUGACGGUACCCAAAUAAUAAGCACCGGCUAACUUCGUG